Labrus mixtus (cuckoo wrasse) is the source of this 831-nucleotide long non-coding RNA. RefSeq lists it as uncharacterized. The transcript has 3 exons. Lineage: Eukaryota; Metazoa; Chordata; Actinopteri; Labriformes; Labridae. The record is from RefSeq and is a predicted model, not a curated record.
AAUCACAUAGAUCAGUAUGAAAUGUGAUUUAAAGCAGGUAGACCUGAACUCACCUUCUCUUCUUUUUUUGUGUUUGACUCGUCUGCUUCAGCCUCCUGCUUCAGGUCAACACCUGGAACUAAACGAGUCGCACACAGGUAAACACUAGGGGGCGAUAUAACCCAGAACACCUCAGGUUGAGUUUUUUUAUGAAGAGUGUAAAGUGACUCAGCUGUAAUUAUCCCAUGUUUUUAGCGUUCGUUACCAUGGUGAUCUACCAACAUGAGAAAAGGGGGUGGCGUGUUUACCUGCCAGGUGAGCGGCGUAGGUCCACAGGAAGGAGUUUUUUGUCAUACAGGACUCACAGAUCAUCUCCUGCAGCUCCACACAGUCUGGAACCUCAGAACCCAGGUGCUAAAAAAAAGAACACAAAGGUGAGACCACCAGAGGGCGCCACGUCACCAUGUGACAUCACAGCUGACAGAUACAUUCAGCCAAUCACAGAGAGACUCGUUAGAGAGGAGCACGAGCACACCUGGUGGACAGGUGAGGUUCAGCUGUGUGUCUCACCUGGUCGUCUGGGUCAGGAUACGGUCUGUUGCAGGUACAGUAAACCCCGAAGAAGUUAUGACUGUAUUUGUUCAGAUGGUUGACGUCGUCCUUCUCCUGCAAAAAACACACACACACACACACACACACACACACACACACACACACACACACACACACACACACACACACACACACACACACACACACACACACACACACACACACACACACACACACACACACACACACACACACACACACACACACACACACACACACACACACACACACACACUCUCA